GACGAACGCUGGUGGCGUGCUUAACACAUGCAAGUCGAACGGGCAGUAGUAAACAGCAGCCUCGGUGGAAGAUUACUAAUGAGAGUGGCGAACGGUUGAGUAACGCCUUAGCAACCUGCCAAAGCCAGGGGGAUAGCCUCGGGAUACCGGGAUAAAUACCGCAUAAAAUCGUAGAAACACAUGCUUCAACGGUGAAAGAUUUAUCGGUCAUAGAUGGGCUGGCGUCUGAUUAGCUAGUUGGAGAGAUAACAGCCCACCAAGGCGACGAUCAGUAGACGGUCUGAGAGGAUGAACGGAGACACUUGCACUGAGACACGGUCGGAAAUCCUCCGGGAGGCAGCAGUGGGGAAUAGUGCACCAUGGGGGAAACCAUGAUGCAGCGACGACGCGUGAACGAAGAAGGUAUUCGUAUCGUAAAGUUCUGUCCAAUGGGAAGAUAAUGACAGUACCAAAGAAGAAAGCUCCGGCUAACUACGUG
Molecule: ribosomal RNA, 478 nt
Filed under: uncultured bacterium
Lineage: Bacteria
Description: partial 16S ribosomal RNA
Rfam family: Bacterial small subunit ribosomal RNA
Source: RNAcentral